Molecule: transfer RNA, 73 nt
Filed under: Parasteatoda tepidariorum (common house spider)
Lineage: Eukaryota; Metazoa; Arthropoda; Arachnida; Araneae; Theridiidae
Description: transfer RNA arginine (anticodon CCU)
Rfam family: tRNA
About the family: Transfer RNA (tRNA) molecules are approximately 80 nucleotides in length. Their secondary structure includes four short double-helical elements and three loops (D, anti-codon, and T loops).
Source: RNAcentral
GCCCUCGUGGCCUAAUGGAUAAGGCAUCGGUCUCCUAAACCGGGGAUUGCGGGUUCGAGUCCCGCCGUGGGUA